GACGAACGCUGGCGGCGUGCUUAACACAUGCGAGUCGAACGGAAAGGCCUGCUUUCCCUUGUGGAUUGCGGGUACUCGAGUGGCGAACGGGUGAGUAACACGUGAGUGAUCUGCCCCCAACUUGGGUAUAAGCCUGGGAAACUGGGUCUAAUUCCCGAUAGGACUGCAGGGUGGUGCCUGUGGUGGAAAACGAUUUUCUAGUGGUUGGGGAUGAGCUCGCGGCCUAUCAGCUUGUUGGUGGGGUAAUGGCCUACCAAGGCGGCGAUGGGUAGCCGGCCUGAGAGGGUGGACGGCCACAUUGGGACUGAGAUACGGCCCAGACUCCUACGGGAGGCAGCAGUGGGGAAUAUUGCACAAUGGGCGGAAGCCUGAUGCAGCGACGCCGCGUGGGGGAUGACGGCCUUCGGGUUGUAAACUCCUUUCGACCGCGAGGAAGCCACCUGGUUGGAAGGGUGGUGACGGUAGUGGUAGAAGAAGCACCGGCUAACUACGUG
Molecule: ribosomal RNA, 494 nt
Filed under: uncultured bacterium
Lineage: Bacteria
Description: partial 16S ribosomal RNA
Rfam family: Bacterial small subunit ribosomal RNA
Source: RNAcentral